This 516-nucleotide ribosomal RNA is filed under the name uncultured bacterium. RNAcentral's name for it is "bacterial SSU rRNA". It matches the Rfam family "Bacterial small subunit ribosomal RNA", at positions 372 to 881 of the family's 1533-position model. The record is from RNAcentral.
UGGGCGAAAGCCUGAUCCAGCAAUGCCGCGUGCAGGAUGAAGGCCUUCGGGUUGUAAACUGCUUUUGUACGGAACGAAAAGCUUCGGGUUAAUACCCUGGAGCCAUGACGGUACCGUAAGAAUAAGCACCGGCUAACUACGUGCCAGCAGCCGCGGUAAUACGUAGGGUGCAAGCGUUAAUCGGAAUUACUGGGCGUAAAGCGUGCGCAGGCGGUUUUGUAAGACAGAGGUGAAAUCCCCGGGCUCAACCUGGGAACUGCCUUUGUGACUGCAAGGCUAGAGUACGGCAGAGGGGGAUGGAAUUCCGCGUGUAGCAGUGAAAUGCGUAGAUAUGCGGAGGAACACCGAUGGCGAAGGCAAUCCCCUGGGCCUGUACUGACGCUCAUGCACGAAAGCGUGGGGAGCAAACAGGAUUAGAUACCCUGGUAGUCCACGCCCUAAACGAUGUCAACUGGUUGUUGGGUCUUAACUGACUCAGUAACGAAGCUAACGCGUGAAGUUGACCGCCUGGGGAGU